UAAGGGAGGGCCGGGUUAGAGGCAGCUGAUUGUUACUCAGUGGGUAUGGUUUUCAUUCUCUUAG
RNAcentral lists this transfer RNA (64 nucleotides) under Nemertopsis tetraclitophila. RNAcentral's name for it is "tRNA-Asn". The record is from RNAcentral. Lineage: Eukaryota; Metazoa; Nemertea; Enopla; Monostilifera; Emplectonematidae.